This 253-nucleotide ribosomal RNA is filed under the name uncultured bacterium. RNAcentral describes it as "partial 16S ribosomal RNA". It matches the Rfam family "Bacterial small subunit ribosomal RNA", at positions 524 to 776 of the family's 1533-position model. The record is from RNAcentral.
UACGUAGGGUGCAAGCGUUGUCCGGAAUUGUUGGGCGUAAAGAGCUCGUAGGCGGUCUGUCGCGUCUGCUGUGAAAAUCCGGGGCUCAACCCCGGACUUGCGGUGGGUACGGGCAGACUAGAGUGUGGUAGGGGAGACUGGAAUUCCUGGUGUAGCGGUGAAAUGCGCAGAUAUCAGGAGGAACACCGAUGGCGAAGGCAGGUCUCUGGGCCACUACUGACGCUGAGGAGCGAAAGCGUGGGGAGCGAACAGG